GGACUACCGGGGUUUCUAAUCCCGUUCGCUCCCCAUGCUGUCGUGUCUGAGCGUCAGGGGCGAGCCAGGAGGCCGCCUUCGCCUCUGGGGUUCCUCCGGAUCUCUACGCAUUUCACCACUACACCCGGAAUUCCACCUCCCUCUCUCGCCCUCUAGCUCUUCAGUCUGGCAUAACCCCUCCCGGUUGAGCCGGAUACUUUCAUACACCACUUGAAGAGCAGCCUGCACACGCUUUACGCCCAGUAAAUCCGGAUAACGCUUGCCACCUACGUUUUACCGCGGCUGCUGGCAC
RNAcentral lists this ribosomal RNA (292 nucleotides) under uncultured bacterium. RNAcentral's name for it is "partial 16S ribosomal RNA". The record is from RNAcentral.